UACUCAAUUUGAUGGCACUGCCUUGAGACC
This 30-nucleotide non-coding RNA is filed under the name Mus musculus (house mouse). Lineage: Eukaryota; Metazoa; Chordata; Mammalia; Rodentia; Muridae. The record is from RNAcentral.